Molecule: ribosomal RNA, 490 nt
Filed under: uncultured bacterium
Lineage: Bacteria
Description: partial 16S ribosomal RNA
Rfam family: Bacterial small subunit ribosomal RNA
Source: RNAcentral
AUUGAACGCUGGCGGCAGGCCUAACACAUGCAAGUCGAACGGUAACAGGAAGACGCUUGCUUCUUUGCUGACGAGUGGCGGACGGGUGAGUAAUGUCUGGGAAACUGCCUGAUGGAGGGGGAUAACUACUGGAAACGGUAGCUAAUACCGCAUAACGUCGCAAGACCAAAGAGGGGGACCUUCGGGCCUCUUGCCAUCGGAUGUGCCCAGAUGGGAUUAGCUAGUAGGUGGUGUAACGGCUCACCUAGGCGACGAUCCCUAGCUGGUCUGAGAGGAUGACCAGCCACACUGGAACUGAGACACGGUCCAGACUCCUACGGGAGGCAGCAGUGGGGAAUAUUGCACAAUGGGCGAAAGCCUGAUGCAGCAAUGCCGCGGGUAUGAAGAAGGCCUUCGGGUUGUAAAGUACUUUCAGCGGGGAGGAAGGGAGUAAAGUUAAUACCUUAGCCCAUUGACGUUACCCGCAGAAGAAGCCCCGGCUAACUCCGUG